CCUACGGGUGGCUGCAGUCGAGAAUCAUUCACAAUGGGGGAAACCCUGAUGGUGCGACGCCGCGUGGGGGAAUGAAGGUCUUCGGAUUGUAAACCCCUGUCAUGUGGGUGCAAAUUAAAAAGAUAGUACCACAAGAGGAAGAGACGGCUAACUCUGUGCCAGCAGCCGCGGUAAUACAGAGGUCUCAAGCGUUGUUCGGAAUCACUGGGCGUAAGGCGUGCGUAGGCUGUUUCGUAAGUCGUGUGUGAAAGGCGCGGGCUCAACCCGCGGACGGCACAUGAUACUGCGAGACUAGAGUAAUGGAGGGGGAACCGGAAUUCUCGGUGUAGCAGUGAAAUGCGUAGAUAUCGAGAGGAACACUCGUGGCGAAGGCGGGUUCCUGGACAUUAACUGACGCUGAGGCACGAAGGCCAGGGGAGCGAAAGGGAUUAGAUACCCCAGUAGUC
This 446-nucleotide ribosomal RNA is filed under the name uncultured bacterium. Its description in RNAcentral is "partial 16S ribosomal RNA". It matches the Rfam family "Bacterial small subunit ribosomal RNA", at positions 338 to 795 of the family's 1533-position model. The record is from RNAcentral.